AUGAUGAGAUCAUUAUCGUUGCUGAUAUACAAGCACGAAGAAGGCAAGAUUGAAGAGGUGGCUAGGGAUUUAAACACAAACUGGAUGACUGCAGUUGAGAUGCUGGAUGAUGAUAUUUAUAUUGGUGCAGACAAUUGCUGUAACCUGUUUACCGUGUGCAAGUCCCCAUAUGGGUUCCUUGAGGCCGUUGGGGAGUACCAUCUGGGGGACGUGGUGAAUAGGUUGCAUCACGGUUCUCUGGUUAUGCACCACGCAGAUUCGGGGACAGGCCAGUUUCCUUCAGUCAUCUUUGGCACGGUCAAUGGCGCCAUCGGUGUGAUUGUCUCCCUUCCUUAUGACCUAUAUGCGUUCCUAGAGAAGCUGCAGUCCGUCCUUGUGAAUUUCGUCAAGGGUGUUGGUAACCUUAGCCAUGCACAAUGGCGGUCAUUCUGUAACGCCAGGAGGACCAGUUCUGCCCGGAACUUCGUGGAUGGUGAUCUGAUUGAAUCUUUCUUCAGUCUGAGCCCAAGCCAGAUGGUGGAGGUUGCGUGCGCGAUGGGUGUCCCUCCGGUUGAGCUGUAUAAGAAAGUGCAGGAGUUGACCAAUCUACACUAG
Molecule: ribosomal RNA, 594 nt
Filed under: Triticum aestivum (bread wheat)
Lineage: Eukaryota; Viridiplantae; Streptophyta; Magnoliopsida; Poales; Poaceae
Description: partial small subunit ribosomal RNA
Source: RNAcentral